GAUGAACGCUGGCGGCGUGCCUAAUACAUGCAAGUCGAGCGAACAGACGCUGCUCUUGCUCCUCUGACGUUAGCGGCGCGCGUGUGAAUCACACGUGUAUAACCUACCUAUCAUACUGGUAUCACUUCGGGACACCGGCUCUUAUCCCAGAUAAUAUCUUGCACCGCAUUGUUCAUUAGUGAAAUACGGUUUUUCUGUCACUUCUCGAUGGAUCCGCGCCGCAUUAGCUAGUUGUUACGUUCACGGAUUACCAAGGCUACGAUGCGUAGCCGACCUGAGAGGGUGAUAGGCCACAAUGGAACGGAGACACGGUCCAGACGCCUAAGGGAGGCAGCAGAAGGGAAUGUGACGCAAUGGGCGAAAGUUUGACGGAGCAACGCCGCGUGAGUGAUGAAGGUCUUCGGAUCGUAAAACUCUGUUAUGAGGGAAGAACAAAUGUGUAAGGAACUAUGCACGGAGUGACGGUACCUAAUCAGAAAGCAACGGCUAACUACGUG
RNAcentral lists this ribosomal RNA (497 nucleotides) under uncultured bacterium. RNAcentral's name for it is "partial 16S ribosomal RNA". It matches the Rfam family "Bacterial small subunit ribosomal RNA", at positions 28 to 507 of the family's 1533-position model. The record is from RNAcentral.